GCGUCGAUGGUGUAAAGGUCAACAUGGUUGCCUUCCAAGAAGCCGAUCCGGGUUCGAUUCCAGGCCGACGCA
RNAcentral lists this transfer RNA (72 nucleotides) under Dreissena polymorpha. It matches the Rfam family "tRNA". Rfam says of the family: Transfer RNA (tRNA) molecules are approximately 80 nucleotides in length. Their secondary structure includes four short double-helical elements and three loops (D, anti-codon, and T loops). Lineage: Eukaryota; Metazoa; Mollusca; Bivalvia; Myida; Dreissenidae. The record is from Rfam by way of RNAcentral.